GACGAACGCUGGCGGCGUGCCUAAUACAUGCAAGUAGAACGCUGAAGGAGGAGCUUGCUUCUCUGGAUGAGUUGCGAACGGGUGAGUAACGCGUAGGUAACCUGCCUGGUAGCGGGGGAUAACUAUUGGAAACGAUAGCUAAUACCGCAUAAGAGUAGAUGUUGCAUGACAUUUGCUUAAAAGGUGCAAUUGCAUCACUACCAGAUGGACCUGCGUUGUAUUAGCUAGUUGGUGGGGUAACGGCUCACCAAGGCGACGAUACAUAGCCGACCUGAGAGGGGGAUCGGCCACACUGGGACUGAGACACGGCCCAGACUCCUACGGGAGGCAGCAGUAGGGAAUCUUCGGCAAUAGACGGAAGUCUGACCGAGCAACGCCGCGUGAGUGAAGAAGGUUUUCGGAUCGUAAAGCUCGGUUGUAAGAGAAGAACGAGUGUGAGAGUGGAAAGUUCACACUGUGACGGUAUCUUACCAGAAAGGGACGGCUAACUACGUG
Molecule: ribosomal RNA, 495 nt
Filed under: uncultured bacterium
Lineage: Bacteria
Description: partial 16S ribosomal RNA
Rfam family: Bacterial small subunit ribosomal RNA
Source: RNAcentral